This 537-nucleotide ribosomal RNA is filed under the name Rhynocoris sp. 00004001. Its description in RNAcentral is "partial 16S ribosomal RNA". It matches the Rfam family "Bacterial large subunit ribosomal RNA", at positions 1808 to 2614 of the family's 2925-position model. The record is from RNAcentral. Lineage: Eukaryota; Metazoa; Arthropoda; Insecta; Hemiptera; Reduviidae.
CAAAAACAUGUCCUUUUGUUCAUAUUAUAUAAGGUCUGACCUGCUCAAUGAUUUUUAAUUAAAUGGCCGCGGUAUUUUAACUGUGCUAAGGUAGCAUAAUCAUUUGUCUUUUAAUUGAAGGCUAGAAUGAAUGGUUGGACGAGGUAUAAGCUUUCUUUAAUUUAAUUAUUGAAUUUAAUUUUUUAGUUAAAAAGCUAAAAUGUGUUUGGGGGACGAGAAGACCCUAUAGAUCUUUAUAUAUAAAUAUAUUAUGUAUUUUAGUGUAUAAAUUACUUUAAUAAGUUUAUUUAUUUGAUUGGGGUGAUUAUAGAAUAAUUAUAACUUCUAUUAUUAGUAUUCAUAAAUUAAUGUUUUGUUGAUCCAAUAUUAUUGAUUAAAAGAUUAAGUUACCUUAGGGAUAACAGCGUAAUUUUUUUGGAGAGUUCUUAUCAAUAAAAGAGUUUGCGACCUCGAUGUUGGAUUAAAAUAAGUAUUAAGUGCAGUAGCUUAAUUACUAGGUCUGUUCGACCUUUAAAAUAUUACAUGAUCUGAGUUCAA